This 602-nucleotide long non-coding RNA is filed under the name Brassica rapa (field mustard). Its description in RNAcentral is "long non-coding RNA (BRAP_LNC004932)". Lineage: Eukaryota; Viridiplantae; Streptophyta; Magnoliopsida; Brassicales; Brassicaceae. The record is from RNAcentral.
CUUAAAAAGGUUUGGCCUUCCUUUAAUAAAUAUACGGGAUUUUGGACAAAUAACCUCUAAACAUUUAAAAAUAAAUAAAGAAAUGAAACAUAAAAAGUGUACAUAAAUAAUAGAAAAAAUUACCUAGACAAAGGGUAUGACUAGUUUCUUCUCUACCAUCCGCAAACACAGCUUUUGCGGUUUGUAGCGGCUGUUGACGUUUUACAACAAUCACUCAAACUGCUCUAAACUGCAUUAAACCGUUCUAAAUUUCAUAAAUUCAAAAGUUGGUUUAGGCUAGCGUUUGCGUUUGCAGGAGGAUAAUUUUUUUCCUUAAAAAAAAAUAAAAAUAAAAAUAAAAAUAAAAAUUGAAAUAAAAAUUGUAAUAAUACUAAUAUAUAUAUAUAUAUAUAUAUUAUUUUAAUUAAUAAUAUAAAUUUAAAAAAUAAAAAUAUUUUCUAUAAUUUUUAAAAUUUAAAACUAUAAAUUUAUAAAUAUAAUUUGUAUAUGUAAUAUAAUAUUAUGAUUUUUGAUAUUUUGUAAUUAUAUAAAAUGUAAAUAUUGUUAAUUUAUUAUUUAACCUCUUGUGCUUUUUGGUAAUUAACCAGUCAUUAGUAUCCCGC